Molecule: ribosomal RNA, 301 nt
Filed under: uncultured bacterium
Lineage: Bacteria
Description: partial 16S ribosomal RNA
Rfam family: Bacterial small subunit ribosomal RNA
Source: RNAcentral
CAGUCGCCACGGGAAUACGGAGGGAGCUAGCGUUGUUCGGAAUUACUGGGCGUAAAGCGCACGUAGGCGGCUUUGUAAGUUAGAGGUGAAAGCCUGGGGCUCAACUCCAGAAUUGCCUUUAAGACUGCAUCGCUUGAACACGAGAGAAAAGUGGAAUUCCUAGUGUAGCGGUGAAAUGCGUAGAGAUUAGGAGGAACACCAGUGGCGAAGGCGGCUUUUUGGCCUGUAACUGACACUGAGGAGCGAAAGCGUGGGGAGCGAACAGGAUUAGAUACCCCAGUAGUCCCUGUCUCUUAUACAC